Molecule: long non-coding RNA, 1028 nt
Filed under: Coturnix japonica (Japanese quail)
Lineage: Eukaryota; Metazoa; Chordata; Aves; Galliformes; Phasianidae
Description: lncRNA (ENSCJPG00005007877.1)
Source: RNAcentral
CGAAGACCAAAUCUCAGUGAAGUUUCUAGCGACUGAAUUACCCGUGGCUACCAUCUAUGGGUAAUGCAAGGGAACUGCGGGAAUAACAGCAAGCAGUCGUGACCAGGUUAAUACAGAAAUAAUUGCAAAACAGCUGUGGAGGGAAUAUGCUUUGCACAGCCUGUUGUAGAUCUUCCUGUGCAAGAUAAUUCUUCGACUGCUAAGACCACCUUUCUCUUGGUUUGGGUAAAGUUCAAUAUGAUGAAAUAAAUAGAGAUUCCAAGAGAGGUUCUGAUAUGUAAGCAUGAAAACAAUGACUUUGUUCUCCUUUACUUACAGCAUUGCUUCAUAUGCUUCUAGGUGAGUUACAGCUGGGUAAGUGUUAUGAUAAUAAAUUUAAUGCUUUUUUUAACUCAUUUGGUGUGGAAUUUAUGCUUGUUUUCUGACUUUGUGCCUGAUCUGCAUACUGUUGGUGAUGUGGCUGGAGCACUCCCAGCAGGUGACACUAGUGCCAUAUGAGCUGAUGAGGACAUAUAGUAAGCAAGUCUAACAACUAUGCAAAAGCUCAUGCUAGCUUGCAAAGCUCAGGUGGCUGAGACAGUUGGGUUGAAUGGGUAGAGAUCUAUCUGACACUCUGCAGUUUUAAAGGUUAUUUUUUCAUUUGCUAUCUUUGUGCAGACUUGCAAGAGGUAUUUAACUGCAGGCUUAUCAUUUCUUGUGAUGAAACAUUGGUGUCCCUGAGCACAACUGCCCAGCAACGAGCAGCAAAGUGGGGGAGCACUGGUUACCUGCAGAUCACCCUGACUCCUCUGAGGACUGUCAAAGAAGAGAAACUUUUGCAUUUUGAUAGGAAGGAAAGCCUUACAGAUAACAGAACAACUGAGUUUGAACGGAUGUCUGGAGCACUCCUGGAAGCAGUAUGUGUUCUGGGAAAAGCAUAAGAAAAAGAAAGAAGUAAAUCAGGCAAAUCAGACCUGCUUGGAAAUGUGAGUAUUCACAUUUUUGUAGAGAAGUAAAAAAAUUGUUUUAUUCCCAAACAAGGUUUAAUA